CUGAUUACAAAAAAAGUAAUAUACGAAAAUUUCGUCUAAUUUGAUGUACACCGCAUCAACUGUGAAGUGGCGUCCCCGUUAGUAAUGGUAAACUAUAUAACAGAGUCAAAGACAAGAAGAAAGAGGAAAGGUGAUAGUCAUUAAGGUACCCUUCAUACCCCUGUCUUCUUCUUCUUCAGAUGAUCCUACAACUAUCACGUGUGGGUUUUUUUAAACGCCAUGUUUUUGUGCACAGAGUUAAAGAAAUCAGCUUCUAAGGUGACAACAGAUAUAAUAGUGUCUCAUUGAUUUUUUUUUAUUUAUAAGACUAGAGAGGAAACCUGCCUCUAGGUCAUGUAACUUGAUACUACAUGUAACUGCUUUUAUAUCUGAAAUGGAUCUGUUUAUGACCUUACGCGGUCUUAAGUAGUUGUAACAUUAUACUAUGAAGG
This is a long non-coding RNA of Saccostrea cuccullata (small rock oyster), 431 nucleotides long. RefSeq lists it as uncharacterized. The record is from RefSeq and is a predicted model, not a curated record. Lineage: Eukaryota; Metazoa; Mollusca; Bivalvia; Ostreida; Ostreidae. The transcript is spliced from 3 exons.